RNAcentral lists this ribosomal RNA (234 nucleotides) under uncultured bacterium. Its description in RNAcentral is "partial 16S ribosomal RNA". It matches the Rfam family "Bacterial small subunit ribosomal RNA", at positions 15 to 237 of the family's 1533-position model. The record is from RNAcentral.
GAUCAUGGGCUCAGGAUGAACGCUAGCGACAGGCCUAACACAUGCAAGUCGAGGGGCAGCGGAGAGGUAGCAAUACCUUUGCCGGCGACCGGCGCACGGGUGAGUAACACGUAUGCAAUCCACCUGUAACAGGGGGAUAACCCGGAGAAAUCCGGACUAAUACCCCAUAAUAUGGGCGCUCCGCAUGGAGAGCCCAUUAAAGAGAGCAAUUUUGGUUACAGACGAGCAUGCGCU